RNAcentral lists this ribosomal RNA (253 nucleotides) under uncultured Lactobacillus sp. RNAcentral describes it as "partial 16S ribosomal RNA". It matches the Rfam family "Bacterial small subunit ribosomal RNA", at positions 112 to 354 of the family's 1533-position model. The record is from RNAcentral. Lineage: Bacteria; Bacillati; Bacillota; Bacilli; Lactobacillales; Lactobacillaceae.
CGAACGUGGGGAACCGUGCCCCACUAGUCUGGGAUACCACUUGGAAACAGGUGCUAAUACCGGAUAAGAAAGCGGAUCGCAUGAUCAGCUUUUAAAAGGCGGCGUAAGCUGUCGCUAUGGGAUGGCCCUGCGGUGCAUUAGCUAGUUGGUAAGGUAAAGGCUUACCAAGGCGAUGAUGCAUAGCCGAGUUGAGAGACUGAUCGGCCACAUUGGGACUGAGACACGGCCCAAACUCCUACGGGAGGCAGCAGAC